AUGCUUCAAUAUUACUCUUUUAAAGCGGAAAGUAUAGCGAAACAACAAAAAUGCCGAGAACUUUACAAUACGUGUGACGUCACAGAUUGCAACUAGGUUGUUUUUGCUUACGUCAGCUAGAGUCCUAUCCAUUUAUUUUAUUAUCCCUGGUUUCAUUUAGCCUCCUUGCGAAACACUUAGAUUAGCAACAGUGACAUCCAGUCAAGAUUCAGUGAUCGAAGUUCCAUUGUCUUUUCAUUGUUUCUAAAAUCCCAUUGUUCUUCAUGCAAUCGCGGUGGAUAUUCAAUGACGGGAAUAUUUCAUUGUCUUUUCAUUGUUUUUACAAUAAAAUAAUACUAUUAUUUUGUGUGUGUUGAUGUUAUGUACUCAGGUGAAUAUGAUGUUUGUGAUGUUACUCUGAGUGUGCAUCCACACCGG
Non-coding RNA from Paramuricea clavata, 417 nucleotides. The record is from the annotation of a GenBank genome assembly. NCBI's taxonomy places the organism in Eukaryota, Metazoa, Cnidaria, Anthozoa, Malacalcyonacea, Plexauridae.